Molecule: ribosomal RNA, 643 nt
Filed under: Salmonella enterica subsp. enterica serovar Dublin
Lineage: Bacteria; Pseudomonadati; Pseudomonadota; Gammaproteobacteria; Enterobacterales; Enterobacteriaceae
Description: partial 23S ribosomal RNA
Rfam family: Bacterial large subunit ribosomal RNA
Source: RNAcentral
AACCGAGUCUUAAUUGGGCGUUAAGUUGCAGGGUAUAGACCCGAAACCCGGUGAUCUAGCCAUGGGCAGGUUGAAGGUUGGGUAACACUAACUGGAGGACCGAACCGACUAAUGUUGAAAAAUUAGCGGAUGACCUGUGGCUGGGGGUGAAAGGCCAAUCAAACCGGGAGAUAGCUGGUUCUCCCCGAAAGCUAUUUAGGUAGCGCCUCGUGAAUUCAUCUCCGGGGGUAGAGCACUGUUUCGGCUAGGGGGCCAUCCCGGCUUACCAACCCGAUGCAAACUGCGAAUACCGGAGAAUGUUAUCACGGGAGACACACGGCGGGUGCUAACGUCCGUCGUGAAGAGGGAAACAACCCAGACCGCCAGCUAAGGUCCCAAAGUCAUGGUUAAGUGGGAAACGAUGUGGGAAGGCCCAGACAGCCAGGAUGUUGGCUUAGAAGCAGCCAUCAUUUAAAGAAAGCGUAAUAGCUCACUGGUCGAGUCGGCCUGCGCGGAAGAUGUAACGGGGCUAAACCAUGCACCGAAGCUGCGGCAGCGAACGUAUCACUUAAAGCGAUUCAGCGGGUUACGAUUGACGGAGCGAAGCGACGUCAAAGCGUAUACAAAGUCGAGUCGGUUUAAGGAUACGUUCGUUGGGUAGGGG